GUGUCAGCAGCCGCGGUAAUACGAAGGGUGCAAGCGUUACUCGGAAUUACUGGGCGUAAAGGGUGCGUAGGUGGUUGGGUAAGUUUGAUGUGAAAGCUCUGGGCUCAACCUGGGAAUGGCAUUGGAUACUGGCGGCCUAGAGUGCGGUAGAGGGCAGUGGAAUUCCCGGUGUAGCAGUGAAAUGCGUAGAGAUCGGGAGGAACAUCUGUGGCGAAGGCGACUGCCUGGACCAGCACUGACACUGAGGCACGAAAGCGUGGGGAGCAAACAGGAUUAGAAACCCUGGUAGUCC
Molecule: ribosomal RNA, 292 nt
Filed under: uncultured bacterium
Lineage: Bacteria
Description: partial 16S ribosomal RNA
Rfam family: Bacterial small subunit ribosomal RNA
Source: RNAcentral